AUACUCUGGUUUCUCCUCAAAUCAUAUAAAUCUUUUCCCUUUGGCUAAAGAUUUCCAUGGAGAGGAACAGCUCUGAGUCUUAAAUCAAGUUUCUAAGGCCUUGUUUUGGCAAGGCU
Prolemur simus (greater bamboo lemur) is the source of this 116-nucleotide small nuclear RNA. Its record names the gene U5. It matches the Rfam family "U5 spliceosomal RNA". From Rfam's summary of the family: U5 RNA is a component of both types of known spliceosome. The precise function of this molecule is unknown, though it is known that the 5' loop is required for splice site selection and p220 binding, and that both the 3' stem-loop and the Sm site are important for Sm protein binding and cap methylation. The record is from Ensembl. NCBI's taxonomy places the organism in Eukaryota, Metazoa, Chordata, Mammalia, Primates, Lemuridae.